CCUCCGGGUGGCAGCAGUGAGGAAUAUUGGUCAAUGGGCGGAAGCCUGAACCAGCCAAGUCGCGUGAGGGAUUAAGGCCCUGCGGGUCGUAAACCUCUUUUGCCGGGGAGCAUAGGUCCGGACGUUUCCGGGCCGGGAGAGUACCCGGAGCAAAAGCCUCGGCUAACUCCGUGCCAGCCGCCGCGGUAAUACGGAGUAUGCGAGCGUUAUCCGGAUUUAUUGGGUUUAAAGGGUGCGUAGGCGGACUGUUAAGUCAGCGGUAACAGCCCGGGGCUCAGCCCGGGGGAGCCGUGGAAACUGGAUGGAUUGAGAUGUCGAGAGGUAUGCGGAAUGCGCAGGGUAGCGGUGAAAUGCUUAGAUAUUGCGCAGAACUCCGAUUGCGAAGGCAGCAUACCGGCGGCGAUCUGACGCUGAGGCACGAAAGCGUGGGUAUCGAACAGGAUUAGAUACCCGAGUAGUC
This 460-nucleotide ribosomal RNA is filed under the name uncultured bacterium. RNAcentral describes it as "partial 16S ribosomal RNA". It matches the Rfam family "Bacterial small subunit ribosomal RNA", at positions 338 to 795 of the family's 1533-position model. The record is from RNAcentral.